GGGUGUAGCUCCGCCACCUUCGCUAUUCGCUCCACCUCCACCUCCACCUCCUCACUAUUCUACUCCUAAUCAAUCGGCGGCAUCGAACGAUCCUCAUGCUUCAGCGAAUCCUUCACCAAAUCAGUCUCAUUGACCAUCUUGGUGAUGAUACUUGUGGUUGUUAAUGGUACUUCUAUUUGCAAUUAUGGUUGUAGAUGAUGGAGCACUUGGAUUACUUGUGAACUUAUUUGUGAUAUAUUGUGAGACAUGUGACGUUUGUGAUAUAUAUGUGGUGUUGGUGAUAUAUAUGUGCUGUUGAUGAUA
Molecule: long non-coding RNA, 303 nt
Organism: Phragmites australis (common reed)
Lineage: Eukaryota; Viridiplantae; Streptophyta; Magnoliopsida; Poales; Poaceae
Exons: 2
Source: RefSeq, a predicted model, not a curated record